GAUGAACGCUGGCGGCGUGCCUAAUACAUGCAAGUCGAGCGAACAGACGAGAAGCUUGCUUUUCUGACGUUAGCGGCGGACGGGUGAGUAACACGUGGAUAACCUACCUAUAAGACUGGGAUAACUUCGGGAAACCGGAGCUAAUACCGGAUAAUAUUUUGAACCGCAUGGUUCAAUAGUGAAAGACGGUCUUGCUGUCACUUAUAGAUGGAUCCGCGCUGCAUUAGCUAGUUGGUAAGGUAACGGCUUACCAAGGCAACGAUGCGUAGCCGACCUGAGAGAGUGAUCGGCCACCCUGGAGCUGAGACACGGUCCAGACUCCUACGGGAGGCAGCAGUAGGGAAUCUGCCGCAAUGGGCGAAAGCCUGACGGAGCAACGCCGCGUGAGUGAUGAAGGUCUUCGGAUCGUAAAACUCUGUUAUUAGGGAAGAACAUAUGUGUAAGUAACUGUGCACAUCUUGACGGUACCUAAUCAGAAAGCCACGGCUAACUACGUG
Molecule: ribosomal RNA, 497 nt
Filed under: uncultured bacterium
Lineage: Bacteria
Description: partial 16S ribosomal RNA
Rfam family: Bacterial small subunit ribosomal RNA
Source: RNAcentral